RNAcentral lists this transfer RNA (72 nucleotides) under Nanobdellati archaeon. Its description in RNAcentral is "tRNA-Val". It matches the Rfam family "tRNA". Rfam says of the family: Transfer RNA (tRNA) molecules are approximately 80 nucleotides in length. Their secondary structure includes four short double-helical elements and three loops (D, anti-codon, and T loops). Further hydrogen bonds mediate the characteristic L-shaped molecular structure. tRNAs have two regions of fundamental functional importance: the anti-codon, which is responsible for specific mRNA codon recognition, and the 3' end, to which the tRNAs corresponding amino acid is attached (by aminoacyl-tRNA synthetases). tRNAs cope with the degeneracy of the genetic code in two manners: having more than one tRNA (with a specific anti-codon) for a particular amino acid; and 'wobble' base-pairing, i.e. permitting non-standard base-pairing at the 3rd anti-codon position. Lineage: Archaea; Nanobdellati. The record is from RNAcentral.
GGGCCCGUGGUCUAGCGGCAUGACGCUGCUUUCACAGAGCAGAGAUCAGGAGUUCAAAUCUCCUCGGGCCCA